AUUGAACGCUGGCGGCAUGCCUUACACAUGCAAGUCGAACGGCAGCACGGGUGCUUGCACCUGGUGGCGAGUGGCGAACGGGUGAGUAAUAUAUCGGAACGUACCUUAUUGUGGGGGAUAACGCAGCGAAAGCUGUGCUAAUACCGAAUAUUCCCUAAGGGGGAAAGCGGGGGACCGUAAGGGCUCGCGCAAUUCGAGCGGUCAAUACCUGAUUAGCUAGUUGGUGAGGUAAAGGCUCACCAAGGCAACGAUCAGUAGCUGGUCUGAGAGGACGAUCAGCCCCACUGGGACUGAGACACGGCCCAGACUCCUACGGGAGGCAGCAGUGGGGAAUUUUGGACAAUGGGGGCAACCCUGAUCCAGCAAUGCCGCGUGAGUGAAGAAGGCCUUCGGGUUGUAAAGCUCUUUUGUCAGGGAAGAAACAGCAGCUCUAACACAGUUUGCGAAUGACGGUACCUGAAGAAUAAGCACCGGCUAACUACGUGCCAGCAGCCGCGGUAA
This 501-nucleotide ribosomal RNA is filed under the name uncultured bacterium. RNAcentral's name for it is "partial 16S ribosomal RNA". It matches the Rfam family "Bacterial small subunit ribosomal RNA", at positions 30 to 523 of the family's 1533-position model. The record is from RNAcentral.